CUCAGAAUCACCUGGUGGACUUGUUAAAACACAAUGUACUGGGCCCCACACCUGAGAGUUUCUGACUUAAUUGAUCUGGAAUGGGCCUGAGAAUUUGCAGUUCUAACAAGUUCCCAAGUGAUGCUGCU
This 128-nucleotide microRNA precursor is filed under the name Marmota monax (woodchuck). The record is from RNAcentral. Lineage: Eukaryota; Metazoa; Chordata; Mammalia; Rodentia; Sciuridae.